UCAAUGUUCGGUCUUCAUCAUUCAUCAUUAGAGAACAUCAUCAUUCAUGAUAAGAGAACUACAAAGCCUCCCUUUCCUUUCUUUCCUCCCAUGACGAAGGGCAGAGAGCUUUGUAGCUGUCCCAGGGACAGAACGACAUCGUAUCAUGGGCUUGUUAUUAUUUUGUUUUUCUUCAAAUUAUGAAUUACUUUGUUCAUAGAUUAUAAAAGUAUAUAAGAUACAAAAAGGAAGUUGGGAUGAAGAAGAG
RNAcentral lists this long non-coding RNA (247 nucleotides) under Carica papaya (papaya). RNAcentral describes it as "long non-coding RNA (CPAP_LNC015029)". Lineage: Eukaryota; Viridiplantae; Streptophyta; Magnoliopsida; Brassicales; Caricaceae. The record is from RNAcentral.